Molecule: ribosomal RNA, 466 nt
Filed under: uncultured bacterium
Lineage: Bacteria
Description: bacterial SSU rRNA
Rfam family: Bacterial small subunit ribosomal RNA
Source: RNAcentral
UCCAGACUCCUACGGGAGGCAGCAGUGAGGAAUAUUGGUCAAUGGGCUUACGCCUGAACCAGCCAAGUCGCGUGAGGGAAGACUGCCCUAUGGGUUGUAAACCUCUUUUGUCAGGGAGCAAUUGGCGCUACGUGUAGCGUUAUCGAGAGUACCUGAAGAAAAAGCAUCGGCUAACUCCGUGCCAGCAGCCGCGGUAAUACGGAGGAUGCGAGCGUUAUCCGGAUUUAUUGGGUUUAAAGGGUGCGCAGGCGGUCUGUUAAGUCAGCGGUCAAAGCCGGGGGCUCAACCCCGGUCCGCCGUUGAAACUGGCAGUCUUGAGUUGGAGAGAAGUAUGCGGAAUGCGCGGUGUAGCGGUGAAAUGCAUAGAUAUCGCGCAGAACUCCGAUUGCGAAGGCAGCAUGCCGGCUCCACACUGACGCUGAGGCACGAAAGCGUGGGUAUCGAACAGGAUUAGAUACCCGGGUAC